CACCAUUCAAAGGUAACUCAAUCAUCCAUGAAACUGAAUACAAAAGAAAUUUCAAGGGUUUAUCUCCAGUGAAAGAACCGAAAUUAAGAAAUGAUUUGAGAGAAAACAGAAAUCUUGAAACAGUAUCUCCUGAAAAGAAGAGUAAUAAAAUAGAUGAUCCUUUAAAAUUGGAAGCAGAGAUGGAAUUAAAAGACUUACACCAGCCUAAAAAGAAGCUUGCUCCUUGGAAACAUCAAAGGCUUGGGUAUGUAUUUUAAUAGGAAAAUAUGGUAUUUCAAUGAUUAACAUGGUGAAAUAUUUACUUUCAUUUCAUUUCUGUUAGGAAGGUGAAUUCCGAAUAUAGAGCAAAAUUUCUGAGCCCUGCUCAGUAUUUAUAUAAAGCUGGGGCUUGGACACGUGUGAAGGGAAACAUGCCAAAUCAGGUGAGUAUACAUGAGCUCAAUAAGCCUACAUGUUCUUUCAGCCUCUGUUAACACUUUAAUUUCACAAUGAGUUCCUUUUGGUAAUAGAGCCCACAAUUUAAAGAAGUAUGAUAUAAUAAUAGCACUAAUAGUAUCAGGAACUUAUGUAUUAGGACGUAAAUUAUCAUUUUUUUUUUAAUGCCACUGGCUGUUCGGAAAUUAAUAUUUAUUGAGGUCUUUUAAGUUAAUGCUUUUUACCAUCAAACAUUUGAUUGUGUUAAUAGAUUCAAUUUAUAGAAUUGUAUCACUAUAGAUUGGAUUAUUUCAUAACCUUCAGACCUCCACUCUCUCAACUGAAGAUUAAUUUUCAAGAUUAAAUAAUUUAUCUGAUAGUGAUG
This 799-nucleotide small RNA is filed under the name Pongo abelii (Sumatran orangutan). RNAcentral describes it as "retained intron". The record is from RNAcentral. Lineage: Eukaryota; Metazoa; Chordata; Mammalia; Primates; Hominidae.